AUACGUAGGGGGCGAGCGUUGUCCGGAAUGAUUGGGCGUAAACGGCGCGUAGGCGGCCGCUUAAGUCUGGAGUGAAAGUCCUGUUUUCAAGAUGGGAAUUGCUUUGGCUACUGGGGGGCUUGAGUGCAGGAGAGGUUAUCGGAAUUACAGGGGUAGCGGUGAAAUGCGUAGAGAUCGGGAGGAACCCCAGUGGCGAAGGCGGGUAACUGGACUGCAACUGACGCUGAGGCGCGAAAGUGUGGGGAGCAAUCAGGAUUAGAUACCCUGGUAGUCCACACUGUAAACGAUGAAUGCUAGGUGUAAGAGGUAUCGACCCCUUUUGUGCCGGAGUCAACACAAUAAGCAUUCCGCCUGGGGAGUACGGCCGCAAGGUUGAAGCUUAAAGGAAUUGACGGGG
RNAcentral lists this ribosomal RNA (397 nucleotides) under uncultured bacterium. RNAcentral's name for it is "partial 16S ribosomal RNA". It matches the Rfam family "Bacterial small subunit ribosomal RNA", at positions 523 to 918 of the family's 1533-position model. The record is from RNAcentral.